CCUAACUUCUUCUCUCUAAAUUCUUCUUCGCCUUCUCCCUCGCGACGGCGCCUUCCCAUCUCGGACGAAAUCGCAGCAGUGAGCAAGGGUUUCUCCGGCGCCGGCGAGGGCUUUUCCGGCUAGUCUUCACCUAUGCGAGGUCAUCCCGACGGAGAAGAACUUGCGGGCACAAGAGGAAGCCGAAGUUUUUGCAAGACCCGAGCCUCCGAAAACCCUAAGGCCUUUUCCUUCCUUCUUCUCAGUUGUAAGUGCAAGAAACCCUAGAUAAAGGAAAAGCUAAGAUAUGAAGGGAGGCGAUAGGGUGGUGGUGAUGAUGGAUGUGUGUGGUGGCUGGACUAUGGAGAGAUCCAGAAUGAGCUGGCAAAUUGCCAAGACUUUUCUGUUUAGUUCUUUUAGUUCUCUUUUAAGUGUUAUUAUGGGUUGAGACUGUAAAUAAGUUUAUUCCGCAUUUGUAAUUAGUUUUCUUUUAUUAUGAGUUGGAGUAGUAUAGUUGUUGCUA
Long non-coding RNA from Zingiber officinale, 499 nucleotides. RefSeq lists it as uncharacterized. The record is from RefSeq and is a predicted model, not a curated record. Lineage: Eukaryota; Viridiplantae; Streptophyta; Magnoliopsida; Zingiberales; Zingiberaceae. The transcript is spliced from 2 exons.